Molecule: ribosomal RNA, 424 nt
Filed under: uncultured bacterium
Lineage: Bacteria
Description: bacterial SSU rRNA
Rfam family: Bacterial small subunit ribosomal RNA
Source: RNAcentral
GGGGAAUUGUUCGCAAUGGGCGCAAGCCUGACGACGCAACGCCGCGUGGAGGAUGAAGACCUUCGGGUCGUAAACUCCUUUCGAUCGAGACGAACGGCCUUCGGGUGAACCAUCCGGAGGAGUGACGGUACCGAGAGAAGAAGCCCCAGCUAACUCCGUGCCAGCAGCCGCGGUAAUACGGGGGGGGCAAGCGUUGUUCGGAUUUAUUGGGUUUAAAGGGUGCGUAGGCGGCCCUGUAAGUCAGUGCUGAAAUAUCCCGGCUUAACCGGGAGGGUGGCAUUGAUACUGCGGGGCUUGAGUACAGAUGAGGUAGGCGGAAUUGACGGUGUAGCGGUGAAAUGCAUAGAUAUCGUCAAGAACACCGAUAGCGAAGGCAGCUUACUAAGUUGUAACUGACGCUGAUGCACGAAAGUGUGGGGAUCAA